UUCAUAUUAUAGUCUAUUUUUAAUUGUUUAUAAAAGUCCUUGCUGUUUUUAAGUGGCUGAAUUAGUGUGUGUGCACGCGUGUGUGUGUGCGUGUUGGUAGCUGGGUGGGUAUAUAGUUCUGGUCUGAAGUUGACAUACCCCUUGCAGGAGAAAGAGACCCUGUGUAAUCUAUUUAAACGACUUUUACGCAUGUUUUGCAGAGAGAUCAUUUUCACCUUGCUGUUUGGGUCUCUGUCCCACACUGUUACAGUGCAGAAUUGAGAGCGCGAGGGAGAUCGAUUUUCUAUCAGAAACAGUAACUAUAUAAAAUGGACGUCAACACGCAGCACUCUGUGAGGUUGUGUUCGAGUUGUGCAGGCUUGUGUCACCUGACUUAAAGAAGGCAUUGUUUGAAGGGCUUGAUCAGCACCUCCCACGGCUCCUGCAGUUGUACAACACCGAGAGGCAGUGAAAUACCUGAAAUCCAACAUGUGAUGACCCGCAUUGAUCAAGAGGUGUUCCAGGUGCAGUCUUUGGAAAUUGAUGAAGAUUUACUGCCCUGCAAGAUCUUCCUCAACUGCGUAGUCUAGAGCAAAGGAUGCAACAGAGCCCAGAUUGCAAGCAAAAACUGGUGACACACUCGUACUCAAAGCACAACAUUCAACACCACUUUGAUAUGAGGGAACAGUUAUGACCUAAUCUUUGGUAGAGGAGCAAAAC
Long non-coding RNA from Ictalurus punctatus (channel catfish), 699 nucleotides. The record is from Ensembl. NCBI's taxonomy places the organism in Eukaryota, Metazoa, Chordata, Actinopteri, Siluriformes, Ictaluridae.